Small nucleolar RNA from Panicum hallii, 140 nucleotides. RefSeq annotates it as small nucleolar RNA Z247. Lineage: Eukaryota; Viridiplantae; Streptophyta; Magnoliopsida; Poales; Poaceae. The record is from RefSeq and is a predicted model, not a curated record. The transcript has a single exon.
CAGAUUGAAGAAGAUGAGAUGGUAUUUUUUAUUCUUAAUGGUCUUGAUUAUGAUUACAACCCUGUUGUCUCUUCUGUUCUUGGCCGCUCAGAUCCAAUAUCCAUUCAAUGACUUGUAUGCACAAGUUAUGUCAUAUGAGC